UGGGGAAUAUUGCACAAUGGGCGAAAGCCUGAUGCAGCGACGCCGCGUGAGGGAAGAAGGCCUUCGGGUCGUAAACCUCUGUCCAAGGGGAAGAAAAAAAUGACGGUACCCUUGGAGGAAGCCCCGGCUAACUACGUGCCAGCAGCCGCGGUAAUACGUAGGGGGCAAGCGUUAUCCGGAAUUACUGGGCGUAAAGAGUGCGUAGGUGGCCACUCAAGCGCAGGGUUUAAGGCAACGGCCUAACCGUUGUCAGCCUUGCGAACUGGGUGGCUUGAGUACAGGAGAGGAAGGCGGAAUUCCUAGUGUAGCGGUGAAAUGCGUAGAUAUUAGGAGGAACACCGGUGGCGAAGGCGGCCUUCUGGACUGUCACUGACACUGAGGCACGAAAGCGUGGGUAGCAAACAGG
This 406-nucleotide ribosomal RNA is filed under the name uncultured bacterium. RNAcentral describes it as "bacterial SSU rRNA". It matches the Rfam family "Bacterial small subunit ribosomal RNA", at positions 355 to 776 of the family's 1533-position model. The record is from RNAcentral.